CAUUAGUAUCCUUCAUCCUGUUAAGCCAUUCGAGAGCCUUAUGACCCGUUUGCAGAGUGAAUUCUCUUCCCAGCAGAUAGUGCGUAAAGGAAUCCAGAGAUCACUUUAUGGCCAAGGCCUCUUUUUCCACUGUUGCAUAGCAUCUCUCUCGGGCCAACAGCUUGCGACUGAUGUAAGCCACGGGAUGCAGCUCCUCUGAUGUCCCUUGUAGAAGGACCGCCCCCAAACCCCUCUCAGAAGCAUUAGUCUGCAGAAUGAAGUCUCUUUGAAAGUCUGGAGAGUACAAGACUGGUUCCACACUCAAGGAAUGCUUAAUGUCUUGAAAAGCUGCCAGGGCCUCCGCAGUCCACUGGAUUUUGUUGGGGCUACAUGAGCCCGUCCUAUCGGUCAAUGGCGCUGCCCUUGCAGGAAAGUUGGGGACGAAUCGGUGGUAAAAUGAGGCCGUCCCAAGGAACGACCGCAACUGCUUCCUAGUCUGUGGAACAGGACAUGUUUCCAUUGCAUGAACUUUAUCAACCUGGGGCUUAGUAAUCCCACCUCUGCCACCAAAUGUGAGGGAUCAAGCCAAAUGAGUGGAGGAACACAGGCAAUUUCCAAAAAUAGACUCUUUAAUUUCCUUUUUGUUUUAAAAUAUCCUCACAAAAGCAGCUCGAGCUCAUAAAAGAGAUCAAACAAAAAACUGAAACUCAAUAAACUUCUAACUUAACAUAUUGACUGACUGAAACCAUAACCGACCUCUCAAACAAAGACAUACAAGGGUAUAUAUACACACUGGCUGAUCAGACCUUAUGAACAAUAGGGAUUACUAGACAAACAUUUACUAACUAAAACUAAAACCACAAAUCAGUACAGUCAGAUUGUUAAUAAACCUAAACACCCUAACGCAUAAACCUAACUAUUUAACUUCAAACUUAAAUGAAUUAACAAAUGACAAAAUAAUAAACUAAAGGAAAUUCUUCAGUCCCCUCUUCAGGGAGCUAUUGGUUUGGCCCCAUCAGCUCCUCCUGUAUUUAGGUGACAGAACCCCUUCAACCCUGUUUGCCUGUCCCAUCUCAGGAAGCACACUCACAGAAAUGAUUCAUGCCAGAGUUAAUUUUUAUGUAUUUUUAUUUAUUUGAUUAUAUUGAAAAACUCAUAUUAUUUAAAUGUAUGCAUUAGAAUUAAUUAUAGUUUACAGAAUGUAAUAAAUUUUAAUAUUAUUAAAUAUAAUUAGUUAUUUCUUAGUAAAAUUGUUUAAAUACAAAAGGCUGUAAAACAAACAAGAUUCUUUUGUUUAAAAUUUAUGUGAUUUGUUUAAAUACAAGUUAUGAAAAGUGAAUUUGGGAAACCGGAAACAAUGUCUUGCACUUCCUCUGCACUCCCGCCCGCGCUCAGGAGUAGCAUCGUAGCGUUCUCCAUGUGAUGGUAAGUGUAACAUUCUCUCUAAGGGGUGUCUUGUAUGUACAUAAAGAUAUUUUUUUUUUGCCAUAGGGUGUCGAGUGCUUGCGUUUGUGAUAACAUUUUGUAGUUUGUGUUUAUUGUAUGCAGUUAUAUCCUGGCUACGUAGCUUUACAGGACAAUGCUGUUUCCCGCUAGCAUUAUAGCUAAUAAGCUAGCUAUUUCACAGGCAUCUUCGCUAGCUUGGCUAUCCAGCUUAAUAAUGGAUUCAACAACCCUUAACAGUUGUAACCGGCAUGUUAUCAUGGUGGUUAAAAGGACAAAUAUUAAAAUCAUUAGUUAAGCAAACAUAAUUUUUGUCCACAACAUUUAACCUAUUAAAUUUGUAGCAAGUUAGCCUCUGCUCUGUAGCAUUAACUUACAGUUUGCUUAAAGUUAAAUUUGAGAACUUUUUGGGGUUGUUUUGGAAGGAGCAGACUUGUUACCUUUUGGCAGAAUUUUGCAGUUUUAAUGCAAAAUAUGGCAUUUCUGUGAUUCAUACUAUGCAAUUAAACUUAGUUUUUCUUUUCACUUAUUUUUUUGUUUUCAGAUAGCUAACUCUUUUUCUGCAUUCUCCUCCAAUCUCGUGUUCUCACCUUCAUGUGGCAUAUAUUUUUCAUUAGGCCUACAAAGUCAGAUCUUUGACAAUCAGGAGGCAGGAGGUUCUCCAGGAGCCACCAAUUCCAGAGUUCCAAAGCAGAUGGCCAGCACUGUUUGAUGUCAGUGAGGUAAGUGUGAAUCUGAAGUGUAAUAACUUGGUCUAUUUUACAAACUGUUAAAAUCUCUAUCCUGUCUGUGUUGUCUUCUACAGAUUAACUUGGAGUUUAUGCGACUGACAACUAUACCUCUGACCUCCAAAUUCCUUGGAGAACUGGACCGUCAGACUGACAACCUGAUGAAGGUUUUUAAUUCCAAAGGUGGAGCAGCAGGAAGAAAGAUGUCAGCCAUAAUGGCCCAGAUGGAUAAUGUAAGUUUUUAUUUUUAUUUAUCUAAUAUGAUAUGGUUUGUUUGACUCGGCUGUAUAGGACAGUUCCUAUGUUAAAUAUUUUUCUGGCCCCUUUCAAAAUAGCUGUUUAUUUAAUGGGCUUACACCUUUGUGAGCAUCACCAGAGUAGAGUAAAAUAAUGUGGGAUGAUCAAGUGGGGAACUGUCAGUGACUUUGUUUGCCUCAGCACCUGUGUGUUAUAUCUCCAACACUGAAAAGCAUGGAAUUAUAACUUUUUUUUUCUUCCCAGAAUGAAGACAUCAACGUGAGGCGAGAUUGUGUGCUGAGCUGUCUCAGCAUCUACCUCAAUGAAGACCUGGACACACUGGUUAAAGAACACAUGGUAUGCAUGCCAGCCUACUGUGCUUUUGGCCAGAUGUAAUUCAUUUCUAUCUAGACAUACCUGAUAACAUGUGGCGUUCAUGAGAAUGGGAUGGAAAUGGGGAUACAUUGACCUUGACCACCGACAGUAUCAUUGAGUCAGUUGGGUUGUUUAAAAUAAAAAAUUCCCCCAAUGCAAGUGGUGGUAGAACUUUCCCUUUGUAGGAAGUAAAUCCACUUGGUCGAAGGGAUUAAGUUGGAUGGGUCCUGGCACCUAUACGCCCCAGGGAUGACAUCUCUCACCUAAACAACAAGGAUACAUGCUGUGGACUGUCUGCUUAUGAACUCCAGCGUCUUGAGAACAUCAUACAGAAGGAAGCCUUCUUGUCUUCUUUGAAGAUAUGUGAAGUAUGUGGACAUGUUCAUUGGAAUUCUAACAAGUGUAAGACUGAUCAGACGUUCUCCAUUUAACUCAGUCUUCCCCUCACACGUUUUGUCUCCAUCCGACUCCUCUUGGUGUCUCUUCUUCUCUCCCCCCAGUUCUUUCACUGUUGUCCCCUACUGUCCUCUCCCUCUCUCCUUCUGUAUCUUAACAUCUGUCAUACUUAUCUCAAUAGUAACUUCACAAAUACAUUGAGAAUGGGAUUUUAUAAAGGUGUCAAAUUAAGUCUUAAUGGGUUAUUUUAAUUUUUUUCUUCAAUGUAGUUUAGAAAGAUAAUGUAAUUUCUGUCUUCUACCAUUGGCAUACCUUGCUGUCUGUGGAGAGAAACAAUGGGAUAAUAGUUUUUCUCUUUCAAAAGGCAUCUGAGGAUCUAAGGCAGUCAGUAAAGCCAAAGUCAGAAGUCAAGAGGUAAGUCAUAAAGUAGUGUAGUAGGAAGCAUGAUUUGUUUCACGUGCAUUAUUCCAAUGAGGAGAGAGAGAGAGAGAUCCCUAAGACAGCUUAGAAGAGAAAGGAGGUAAAUAUAAAUAGCAGAGGCUACAGGAAAGGGUGAGGAUGUUGGAAAGGUUUGCCUCCUUCAGUCCAUUUUCCCAGCAUCAACAACAAGUUCCUGCUUGGGUCUUACAGCCACUGGUUCCGUAUUUAUAUCACUGAUCUCUGAACAAAAUCAGUGAGGGUUCUUGGUUCUGUAUUUUCAUAUCUCUCUGCAUUUUUAGUUUGUGUUUUAUUGACAGAUUUUUUUAUGGCAGGUCAAAGGCUUCAUUGGGAAAAGAGCGGUGUCCCCGGAAAUCCCUCCGUCUUAACGAAGUGCAGAACCUUACCCUCAGCAGAGAAUCAACCCAUAAACACGUGAGAACAAGAGUACUACUUCAAAGGAUUUGUCUCAGAUUUUAAUUGUUGUCACCUUGAUGGAAAAAAUGGCACAGUUUGAGAGUUGGGGUGUGAAUAGUCAACACAAAAUGCAUCCUUAUGACUAUUUCCCCCCCCAGGCUUUUAGGUGGUGAUCAGAGGUCUUAAGGUCAUUGUUACCAUGAACUUGCAUCCAUCUCAUUCUCAUGAACGCAUAUAUGCAGUGCUUUAUUUUCAAAUUAACACUCAGUUGGCCUAAGGAUGAGCUGCUUACAUUUUGGGAGUCCAGGUUAAGGUCACACAACUAAUUGUUCUGUUCUUUUUAUGUUUCAGGACAUUGAUUCCAGAGAGGCUGAGGCAGACAUUACAGAGAAGACAAUGGGCAUCUGCACAGUCCGAGCAGAGGGUCAUGGUCCUGAUGGUCCAGGUGAUGGACGCUUUGCUGAUGUUGGUGUUGUGCUGGAAGGCGUAGAAGUUCUCCAUAGCCUGCAGAGUGUCAGCCAUGCAUGCGUGAUGCUUUAUGGACUGAUCUAU
This is a non-coding RNA of Nothobranchius furzeri (turquoise killifish), 4544 nucleotides long. The record is from RefSeq and is a predicted model, not a curated record. Lineage: Eukaryota; Metazoa; Chordata; Actinopteri; Cyprinodontiformes; Nothobranchiidae.